RNA transcript from Delphinapterus leucas (beluga whale), 7548 nucleotides. It is a transcript of the gene named galactosylceramidase, with no coding region annotated. Lineage: Eukaryota; Metazoa; Chordata; Mammalia; Artiodactyla; Monodontidae. The record is from RefSeq and is a predicted model, not a curated record.
UUCUGCCACGUACUGGCAGGUGGCAGAAGCGCCCGGAGACGUUCGCGGAGGUCCAUAGUAGGCCACGCACUGCCCUGCUCCCUUGGCCUUGGACAUCCACCUCCCCUUCGAUAAAGUGCUCCAGUGGGUGAAGCCGAAGGAGAGGCAGCGAACGGAUACACGCGAAGGCUUAACUCGGACCGUGAACUUGGGCCGAGUAGGAAAGGCUCGCUCCGCCCUCCCCCAACAUUACGGCGGCUGCGUCAACAAGCUGUGGCCCACACUCAACAUGGCGGCGGCGGCGCCAGCGGCCUCCUGCCCUUCUCCAUCAUGGCGGCAGCCGGACCCGCCUCCGCGGGCGCCGGAGUCAUGUGACCCACACAAUGGCUGAGCACCUACUCCAGGCUUCCCGGCAACGCCAAGUGAAAGCCAUGACGGCCGCCGCGGGUUCGGCGGGCCAAGCCGCGGUGCCCCUGCUGCUGUGCGCGCUGCUGGCGCCCGGCAGCGCGUACGUGCUCGACGACUCCGAUGGGCUGGGCCGGGAGUUCGACGGCAUCGGAGCUGUCAGCGGCGGCGGGGCAACCUCCCGACUUCUAGUAAAUUACCCAGAGCCCUAUCGUUCUCAAAUACUGGAUUAUCUCUUUAAGCCGAACUUCGGUGCCUCUUUGCAUAUUCUAAAAGUUGAAAUAGGUGGUGAUGGGCAGACAACAGAUGGCACCGAGCCCUCCCACAUGCACUAUGCAUUAGAUGAGAAUUAUUUCCGAGGAUAUGAGUGGUGGUUAAUGAAGGAAGCUAAGAAGCGGAACCCUAAUAUCACACUCAUGGGGCUGCCAUGGUCGUUCCCUGGAUGGCUGGGGAAAGGUUUCAACUGGCCUUAUGUAAAUCUUCAGCUGACUGCCUACUAUGUCGUGAGUUGGAUUGUGGGCGCCAAGCAUUAUCAUGAUCUGGACAUUGAUUAUAUCGGAAUUUGGAAUGAGAGGGCAUUUGACAUCAAUUAUAUCAAGGUGUUAAGAAGAAUGCUGAACUAUCAAGGUCUCCAGCAAGUGAAAAUCAUAGCGAGUGAUAAUCUCUGGGAGCCCAUUUCUGCUUCUAUGCUGCUUGACUCUGAGCUCUUGAGGGUGAUUGAUGUCAUAGGAGCUCAUUACCCUGGGACCCGUACAGUAAAGGACGCUAGGUUGACUGAGAAGAAACUUUGGUCUUCUGAAGAUUUUAGCACUUUAAAUAGUGAUGUGGGUGCAGGCUGCUGGGGUCGCAUAUUGAAUCAGAAUUAUAUCAAUGGCUACAUGACUGCCACAAUUGCUUGGAAUUUGGUGGCUAGUUACUAUGAACAGUUGCCAUAUGGGCGUUGUGGACUGAUGACUGCUCAGGAGCCAUGGAGCGGGCACUAUGUAGUAGAAGCUCCUAUCUGGAUAUCAGCUCAUACCACUCAGUUUACUCAACCAGGUUGGUAUUACCUGAAGACAGUUGGCCAUUUAGAAAAAGGAGGAAGCUAUGUAGCUCUGACGGAUGGCUUAGGUAACCUCACCAUCAUCGUUGAAACUAUGAGUCAUAAACAUUCCAUGUGUAUACGGCCACUUCUUCCCUAUUUCAAUGUUUCACGACAAUUUGCUACCUUCAUCCUUAAGGGUUCUUUUAGUGAAAUACCAGAGCUGCAGGUGUGGUAUACCAAACUUGGAAAACCAUCGGAGAGAUUUCUUUUCAAACAACUGGAUUCUCUAUGGCUCCUAGACAGCGGUGGCAGCUUCACGCUGGAACUGCAGGAGGACGAGCUGUUCACACUCACCACGCUCACCGCCGGCAGCAAAGGCAGUUACCUGCUGCCUCCGAAGUCCCAGCCCUUUCCCUGUGUCUAUAAGGAUGACUUCAAUGUCGAUUACCCAUUUUUUAGUGAAGCUCCGAAUUUUGCUGAUCAGACUGGUGUAUUUGAAUACUUUAUGAAUAUUGAAGACCCUGGAGAGCAUCGCUUCACACUGCGCCAGGUUCUCAAUCAAAGGCCCAUUACUUGGGCUGCUGAUGCAUUCAGCACCAUCAGUAUUAUAGGAGAUUACAAAUGGUCCAAUUUGACUAUAAAGUGUGAUGUGUACCUAGAGACCCCUGAGAAGGGAGGUGUGUUCAUUGCUGGAAGAGUGAAUAAAGGUGGCAUUUUGAUUAGAAGUGCCAGGGGAGUUUUCUUCUGGAUUUUUGCAAAUGGAACCUACAGAGUUACAGGUGAUCUAGCUGGAUGGAUCAUAUAUACUUCAGGACAUGCUGACGUUACAGCAAAAAAAUGGUAUACACUCACUUUAACUAUUAAUGGUGGUUUCUCUUCUGGCACGCUGAAUGGCAAGCCUCUCUGGAAAAACGUCUCUGUGAACUUCCCGAAGAAUGGCUGGGCCGCGAUUGGAACUCACUCCUUUGAAUUUGCACAGUUUGACAACUUUCGUGUGGAAGCCAUACACUAACACCCACAGAGUGCCAUAGAACACUCUCUGGAUUUUCUUUCUUUUUGGUUUUGGUUCAGAGCCGUUUCUGGUUUUGAUGGAUCAAUAUAGGAGCCUUUUGGAAGCUACAAAAAAUGGAGAGUAAAUGAGGAGAAAAAUAUAUUUUUGCUUGACCAUCUUGAAGAUUUUUUUUUUUAGAAUUCCAAGGAGAAACAGAUGAAUCUUUAAUAUAACCUGAUACGUCCCGUACAUAGGGCACUAGGUGACUGGAAGGAGGAAGAAAACCCCAUAUAGCCAAUGCUGUGAGUGGGUCCAAAGUUGCUCUGGAGACUAGAUGUGUGCCUGGCUACUCCUUUUGUGUAACUGGUAACAACCCCAGGAUCAUUUGAGAAUUUCCUGUAAGACUGGGCUGUCCCUGAAUAGAGCUGUCCCUGAAUAGAGCUGAGUGCCAUGAAAUCGAUGGAGAUUCUGGAUGGUCUGGAUCCCAAGCCAAGGAAUAUACAGGCCCUCCACAGACUGGAUGAUGCCCACCCACACCUGAGGAGCACCACCUGCCUUAGCCCAUCAAUUCCAAUGCUAAUCUCUUUGAGAAACCCUCUCACAGACACAGCCCAAAAUAAUGUUUAACUUGAUAGCUGGGCAUCUUGUGACCUUGUCAGGGUGACACAUACAGUUAACCAUCGUGGUGCCCCUGUGGGUAAAGAGCUCAAAGGAAUUUUAUGCACAGAGAUGACCGAUGCUCAACACCAAGGGGCUGCAUGUUAGUAAUGUAGCUCUCCCCCCUCCCAGUUUGUUGAGAUCUUUGGUGAAGUAUAUUGUGCACACAAGGGUAUGCUUUUUCUAUGUGGUGUGCUUGUGUGAAUGUAUAUGUGCAUGUGUGUGCAUGUGAAUGCAGGCAUGGUUGUGGAUAUGCAUGUAUGAUGUAUGUAAGCAUGUGUGUGUAUGAGAGAGAGAAAUUGAGAGAGACAGAGGAAGAGAAAAGGUGGUUUGUGCAGAUGCAGGAAACUGCGACGUCCCUGGGGAGGGUUGGUGCAGAGCAGAACAGGGAUCGGAUGAGGAGAUAAUCCAGAAAUUUAGCCAAUUUGGCAGAAGCAGGGCUCUAAAUCAGAGGCCAUGGAAAGGCAUGAAUCCCCAGAAAUCUUGUGGAUGGUUGAAAUGAAAUGGGGGUUACAGCCAAUCUUGUCUGGAUUAUAAGGGACAUGGUGAUGCCAGUGAUGCGUUCUCCAUGUGUUAUGGAUUGUCCAUUAACUUUUGGUAGAAUAUAAAGGCCUGAGGCUAAAAGAUUGAUAAUCUGACCAUAAUUGCCCUCCACUCUCAACAAAGCAAAUAAUCGGGAUUGUUCUUCUACCGUUAUAUUCCUCUGUAGUUAUCAUCUUUAUGACAACUUUCCGUCUCCUCGUUUAUCAAACACACUUGAACCUAAUUUUAGCAGACAAAAUUGUUGGGGGUGAGGGUGUGAUUUCUGUAGUGGCUUGGGAUGCAGGGCCCUUCCAAUACUUUUUGGGGGCCAGAAAGUAUAAUUCAAUAACAGCAACUUGUUUUACUUGGAACGUCUAGGACACCAGUUGUGUGAGAUGAAUUAUGUUUUCAUGCAAGGUUCUGAGAGGCCAAAUGACAAAACAUGAGUACAGUGUUUUCUUGAAGGCUUAAAUGGCUUUGCAGAUGUGAAUUAGUCUAUAACAUCGCAGGCACUUUUUUCGUGUGGGUCACACCACCCCUUCCCUCUUCCACUGUUGUAGACAGAAUCAUUAGUAUGUGUCAGCUGCUGAACUUGAGUCAUCAAAUACUAAUCAGAUAAGAAAUGGAUUAGCAAGGAAUCAUAUAAACUGUAUUUUCAGAGUGAAAGUAAAGGAAGUGCACGUUUAAAAUUCGCAGUGAAGCUACCACAGCUAUUUAGGAUGCAAUAAAAGUCCAUUUUAAUAAGUAUCACAUAGUUUACCUGUAGCCCAUUAACUGCGUUUCAGAGAUAGGCAAAGUGAAAAGUGUAAUCUGAUUUUAAGCAUUUUCCACUCAUAUAAAUUACCCAAAUGAAGUAUUUGGGCAUGCUUGCACUGCUAAAUAAGGCAGAAAACGUUACCAAGCUUUUAUGUUAAUACUCCAUAGGUGCUCGGCUGUGUUAGCAAUGAAUCAUGCAGUAUAAGUGACUGCCCCCUGCCCCCCCAUCGUUGGGUUUGGAAAUCCAAACAGACCUCCCUCACCUCUGCCUUUUGUUCUCUGAUCUUGGGCACAACACUUCCCUUCUUUGGGCUGCAGGUUCCUCAUGUGUGAAAUUAGGUAAAUUAAUCCUAUAAGUAUGGUUAUCAGGUUAAAUGAGAUUAUGCACGCAUGGCAUAUACUAAGUAUUCUGGAAAUGAGAGCUAUCAUUACUAUAAACUUGUAGUACGUGUAUUUAAUUCAACACUGUUAUUUUUAGUGUUCUAUUUAUUUUAACCAUUUAAGAUGGAAAUUUUAAAUAAAUUCUGCUCUUCGUGCUUGUUAGGUCAAAUUUUAUCUGUUAUAAGAAGACAUUAUAACAAUGAAAAGGACAUUUUAAAAAUUUUAAAUAAUUCGCCAUAAUACUUAUAUCCUAACAACAAAGCAAUUUUCCUCUUUCUGGAUUCCUUUGCCCGUGUAUAGGCACAUUUUGACAUCGUCAUAAUCAGUCUUCAAAGCAUUAGUCUAUAGUUUGCAAUUUUGUAAAAUGUACUGUAUUUUUAUGUGGCUUCAUAAUUGUAAUUUUUAGUGGCCAUGCUACAUUCAUUAGAGGUUGUGGACCCUAAUCUAAUAGUCCCUGUUUUUAGUCAUUUUGAUUGCUUCUCGUUUUUAUAUGCAUGGCAGAGAUGAGUAUCUUCAGUCUAACGCUCUCCCAGCUGAGCUAUUUCGGCCACCUAAGAUGAAUAUCCUUUGUAGAAGGAGUCAAGGGAUUCUAGAUUUGGAGAAUUGAAAGAGCUGAGUCCUUUUGAUUGGGGCUGGGCAGAGGGCUUUGUAGCUGAGGUGUUUCAAGAGGGAAGACUGGGGCUCCUGAGUGCUUCUAGAUGCAGCAGCAGUGGGGGUGGGCUUGGGGUUUCCAAAGGAGAAGACCCCACGGGGCUGGCAUACAAGGCUGCAGGUUAUGGAGAGAGGCAGAGGGAACCUUAAGGUUGCCUUCUAGGUGGACCUACUCACUUCAGCAGAGAAGGAAAAGACCCAGGGAACAGGGGCAGAAGUCCCUUCCAGUAAGGAGAAGAGGGAGUCGGCAUCUUGGAGGCAGCCUCUGCUUCUGCUACUUUCAAAGUGAGCUCUUUUAAUCCUGUAAACUACUAUUUGCAGAAAGUAAGGCACAGAGAGAUGGCGUAGGUGGCCCAAGUCAAGAAGCUGGCACCUUGGGUGUGUGUGUGUGUGUGUGUGUGUGUCCAGCUCCCCAGGCUUCCCCAAGCUGGGAGCUGCAGAUCCCUAAGGGGCACCCAUCUGAGUGCCUCUGGGAGUCCUGUGAACAGCCUUUGACCAGUGAAGGGCCAGUUCUGUAUUACAGUUAAAACCAAAAGCUCGCCUUUCCUGCUGAGUGAAUGGGGACACCACAGAGCAAACAGAGACAAGAUGGCCACCAGGGGCUCAGCAGUGGUUGAUCACAUCCUCAGGAGUGUUGCCCUGGAGGGUGAUGCAUUUCAGAACAGAGCACCCCGGGGUGUGCAGGUAAAACAGUUCUUCCCUUGAGGACCUCUGCAAAGCCUGCAGGAUCCACGGAGAAUGGCCAUUUUAGCAGUUUGUGGUAAGGAAGCCUCCUUAGCUGCCAUUCCCAGGCGGAGACCGAGUCAACCAAAGCAUUCUGAUGGUCACCAUGUGAGACUUGCGGUGCUCUAGUGCACAGGAGAUAUCGUGAAAAUGUAUAGAUUAAUUAAAAUAAUAAAAAGACAGCAUUUUUUUGCUUAUCACUUUGGCAAAUACAUAUAUAUAUAAAUAUUUAUACAUUAUAUAUUAUUUUAUGUAUAGCAGGCAAUGUAUAAGUUAAUACAUUGUGUAUGUUAUGUACUUAUUCGUAUUACAUGUUUAUCUAUUUAUAUAUGUUUGUAAUCCUGGCACAGUACUUGCUUUGUUCAUAGGGCAGUAAAGUUCACAUAUGUAGGUAGAUGUACCUGAAUGUGCUUUUGAGCGAGGAGUUACUUUUCGUCAUCUAAUGCCCCUGCCCUUUUGGCAGAAGGAGAAACUAAGGCUCGGAGAGAUGACUCCUUCAGGGAGCACAGCUGGGGAAGGAGCCCAGCCUCUCUGCUUUUUCAUUCAUGUCCUUCCUCCUCCUGGUGUGACCUCAAUCCUGCAGCCAUGCAUGUAAAGGGGCUAAAGCAAAACAUCUCUUUCCAAAGAGUAGCACUUUUGUCACAAAACAGUGCUCAUAGAUGCCUCAGGACAGCAACAAAAAGAAAAAAAAAAGAGGAAGCGAUUGGCCAGAGUUUCCGUUUGAGGUCUAGCUCCUCAAAGACACGCCAUGGAGCUCAACAAAAGGCAGGCGAUUGCCCCUUUGAUGGUGCUUCUUUCCAGGGGACAUCUUUUCUCUUGUGCGAAGCUUCUCAUUUUUAGACAAAAGCAGAUAAACAGAAAUUCUAUUCUGACUCACCGAGUGUCACUGACAUAUUUGAAAAUAUCUUUCUACCAAGACAGAAGAAUGGGAUAGUGUAAGAAUUCUCUGAGAUACACUCAAGGAAAUCUAUAAAGGAAUUCCACAAAUUAGCCUCCUAAGGGAAAAGCGAUGUCUGACAUGAACCUUAGCACUUUAAAUCCUUUUUUAACAAUUUCCAGGAGAUGGAAGAACCGCAGUUCUAAGGGAUGUCCGCUAGAUGACAGCAUGACUAUGGUUAAAGUCUCAGUAGCUUUCUCUGGCGUGGAAAAGGGGAUUUAUUACUCUGAUCAGAGGUUGGAAGUCAAAGGUUUUAUGGAUACGAAUAUGCUGUUAAAAUAUUAUAAACUAAACUAUAUAUUUACAUAUAUCUAAUAUAUAAUUCUUACUAUUAUUGUGUGAAGUAUCGUAUUGGCUUUCUUACCAUAAUUCUUACUAUCUUUACUCAGAUCCAUGUGUGAUUUAGGCAGGUUUAAUGUUAUGGCUAAAAGUCCUUUGCUGGCUGCCACCACCCUUACUUGAAUAAUCCCUUUGUUCUUCAAAUGCUAAUUUAUUAAAUGGCUUUAGUGUACAUUAGCCACA